AUUGAACGCUGGCGGCAGGCCUAACACAUGCAAGUCGAACGAGCGUCGGACAGGUGAGUAAUGUCUGGGAAACUGCCUGAUGUAGGGGGAUAACAACUGGAAACGGUAGCUAAUACCGCAUACCCUCAGAUGUGCCCAGAUGGGAUGGGCUGGUAGGUGGGGUAACGGCUCCCCUAGGCGACGAUCCCUAGCUGGUCUGCGAGGAUGACCAGCCAGACUGGAACUGAGACACGGUCCAGACUCCUACGGGAGGCAGCAGUGGGGAAUAUUGGACAAUGGGCGCAAGCCUGAUGCAGCCAGGCCGCGUGUGGGAAGAAGGCCUUCGGGUUGUAAAGCACUUUCAGCGGGGAGGCGUUACCCGCAGAAGAAGCACCGGCUAACUCCGUGCCAGCAGCCGCGGUAAUAC
Molecule: ribosomal RNA, 406 nt
Filed under: uncultured bacterium
Lineage: Bacteria
Description: partial 16S ribosomal RNA
Rfam family: Bacterial small subunit ribosomal RNA
Source: RNAcentral